UGGGGAAUAUUGCGCAAUGGGGGGAACCCUGACGCAGCAACGCCGCGUGAAGGAAGAAGGUCUUCGGAUUGUAAACUUCUUUGAUGAGGGACGAAUAAAGUGACGGUACCUCAAAAACAAGCCACGGCUAACUACGUGCCAGCAGCCGCGGUAAUACGUAGGUGGCGAGCGUUGUCCGGAAUUACUGGGUGUAAAGGGCGUGUAGGCGGGGAUGCAAGUCAGAUGUGAAAUACCGAGGCUUAACCUCGGGGCUGCAUCUGAAACUGUGUUUCUUGAGUGUCGGAGAGGAAAGCGGAAUUCCCAGUGUAGCGGUGAAAUGCGUAGAGAUUGGGAGGAACACCAGUGGCGAAGGCGGCUUUCUGGACGACAACUGACGCUGAGGCGCGAAAGCGUGGGGAGCAAACAGG
This 407-nucleotide ribosomal RNA is filed under the name uncultured prokaryote. Its description in RNAcentral is "bacterial SSU rRNA". It matches the Rfam family "Bacterial small subunit ribosomal RNA", at positions 355 to 776 of the family's 1533-position model. The record is from RNAcentral. RNAcentral also lists the same sequence under 1 other name.